UACGAAGGGUGCAAGCGUUACUCGGAAUUACUGGGCGUAAAGCGUGCGUAGGUGGUUUGUUAAGUCUGUUGUGAAAGCCCCGGGCUCAACCUGGGAAUGGCAAUGGAUACUGGCAGGCUAGAGUGCGGUAGAGGGUAGUGGAAUUCCCGGUGUAGCGGUGAAAUGCGUAGAGAUCGGGAGGAACACCAGUGGCGAAGGCGGCUACCUGGACCAGCACUGACACUGAGGCACGAAAGCGUGGGGAGCAAACAGGG
Molecule: ribosomal RNA, 254 nt
Filed under: uncultured bacterium
Lineage: Bacteria
Description: partial 16S ribosomal RNA
Rfam family: Bacterial small subunit ribosomal RNA
Source: RNAcentral